Molecule: non-coding RNA, 2256 nt
Organism: Equus caballus (horse)
Lineage: Eukaryota; Metazoa; Chordata; Mammalia; Perissodactyla; Equidae
Source: RefSeq, a predicted model, not a curated record
AAUGCAAGCAAAACGCAGGCUGAAACCUGCAUUUAAAAUAGUAGAAAGGCUUAAAGUCUGAUGUCUUCCUGACCACUGGAUAAUAUCAUGAGGGACAAAUGCCCAGGUCCCCACUGAGAUUCAUGAUUAGUGGAAUAUAAUUCUAAGAGAAGAGGUCAGGGAGAUUAAUUUGUGUGGAAUCAUCUCGCUGGGGAGCUCAGUGGCAGAAGUUCCAAGUUGAGAGGUAUUAAGAAAAAAAAAAGAAUGAAAAUGAUUAUCAACUUCACUCCUAUCAGCAUCGAAUUGACGCGUGGUCAGCUGUGACCAGAAGCAGAUGAUCCUCCUUCUGACAAUAGUUAGAAGGUCAAUAGUAGCCUGAUGCUAUGCCACAAGCCUAUCUCAUUCAUUGAUCUCACCUCAACUCAUCACGUAGGCAUUUUACCAUCUUACAUCAUCACAAGAAGAAGGCCCAUUUGGACAGCAUAAGAUGAAGGCAGAACCAAAUAUACCUACUGAAGAAGAGCUCCAAGUUUAUACUGUCAAUACAAGAUCAUGUAGGCUCGAUGUAUGAAAAGCCUGUGAAAAGACAAUUGUCUUGGUUUGGGUGCCUCCGGAAGCAGACCCUGAGGCAAGGUUUUGAAUGUCUCUGCCUGGAGAUUGUGGAACCUGGCUGACUCUGCUUUGUGUGUGAUGUGCUGAGUCAAGAUUAUAUUGCCGGUCAGAUCAGCCCCAGCGACAGCAGACUGAGUGGCCCACUCUGGGUUUAUCAGUUACUUCCAAAUAAGAAUUGAAAAAAAAGAACGAUCAUGGGUUUUGACACCUUAAAGAUACAAGGUGCAAUCCUGAGCCGUCUUAGUCCAGGAAAUGUGUUUAAAUGGAACCAGUUAAGGCAAAUAUUGAUGGAAGUUGCGUGUGUGUGGUGGUCCAUUUAGCACAGUGGUUCUCAACAGGGGUGAUUUUGCCUCCAGGGACAUAAGAUAAGAAAAAUGGCUUCAGAUGUGAAGUAACUCACCCUGGGAUUCAAAGCUAGUAAGUGGCAGAUCCAGAAUUUGAACUCCAGUGACUCUUUCUGCAAGGCCCAGGGUUUUAAUCACUGAUGUGAACACUCCCCACAGGCUCACUGUCUAGUUGAUGCUGAGUCUCUCAGAGAUCACAGGGACCCAUGAGGAGGGAAAAGCAGAGCUGGGCAGGAUACGAGAUGUCCUCUGCCCCAUGUCACCUUCUUGAUCCUCCUGCAUCUCUUUUGUUACUUGGUUUUACCAGGCCUGGCUGUGGAGGCUCCACUGUGUGAAGUGCUCUGGGGACCCUAGUCUGACUGUUCUCAGAGGCGUCAUCCCCACUGACAAUACAAGGCAGAAAUUGCACAGCAGCAUCCUUUGAGAAGGCGUUGGAGACCAUGGUUUUAAGCACAAAAGAACACAUCUACCAAAGGGUGAAGAGAAUUUUGGGCGGAGUGCCCUCCUUUUCUCCACUGCUCUGUUGGUUCCACUGGGAGCGUAGCAGCUAGGACUCUGCAAGCAACUGAAAUAAACUAUGAAGAACUGAGGAACUUAAGCAAACAUGGGAUAUUUUCAAAGAAUAUGGCUGGAAGAGCAGGCUGAAGAACCAGGCUUGGGAGAGGCAGAGACCAGACAUUUACCAAAGAUCUUCACAGAAGAAAUCACUUGACAGUUUCACCUCAACUUUAUUGCUGGAAUAAACAAACUCCAAUGUUUUGUUUUGUCCUUACAUUACUUGAGAUGCAAAAUCUCAGGAGAGAAAGUCCAAUGGGCCAGAUUUAGGUAACAUGCCCACCCUUGACCUCUACAGGGGCAAUGAGAGGGUGAGGGAGGGGAUCUCUUGGGAGAAGCUUUUUGGCUUUUCAUAGGAUGAGAUCAAGGUGGUUGGACUUAUUCUCUACCAACACUAUAUGCACACAAUGUGGAUUAAACCGUUACCCCAAAGAAAAUAAGGAUGUAGACAAAAGUGACAAACGCACAUUACUACGUCUCAGCAGAGAGCCCUGUACAACAACAGCACAGAGAAAGAGUUAGGAUUGUUGCGGGAGCUGCUGCUGUUUUGUUAGUCUCCCGUCCAGGGCCCAGUGACACAGACCCCACUCCUGAGCAAAGACAACACCCUUCCAAAAUAGGGAUGAGACAGCAAAGUGGUGACCCUUUUUCAACACUCAUCAGACACAGGGGUUUUAUUUCUCCUGCACAAUGCUGGAGAAAUAAUGGUAUUUGUUUGUUUGUUAUUAAAAUUGAUUAAGAAACGAAUAUUUAAAAAAGAGAACAG